This 440-nucleotide ribosomal RNA is filed under the name uncultured bacterium. Its description in RNAcentral is "partial 16S ribosomal RNA". It matches the Rfam family "Bacterial small subunit ribosomal RNA", at positions 338 to 795 of the family's 1533-position model. The record is from RNAcentral.
CCUACGGGUGGCAGCAGUAGGGAAUCUGUCACAAUGGGCGAAAGCCUGAUGGAGCAACGACGCGUGCAGGAUGAAGGCCUUCGGGUUGUAAACUGCUUUUAUAAGCGAGAAAUAUGAUGGUAACUUAUGAAUAAGGAUCGGCUAACUACGUGCCAGCAGCCGCGGUAAUACGUAGGGGGCAAGCGUUAUCCGGAAUUACUGGGUGUAAAGGGAGCGUAGACGGUGAUGCAAGUCUGGAGUGAAAGGCGGGGGCCCAACCCCCGGACUGCUCUGGAAACUGUGUAACUUGAGUGCAGGAGAGGUAAGCGGAAUUCCUAGUGUAGCGGUGAAAUGCGUAGAUAUUAGGAGGAACACCAGUGGCGAAGGCGGCUUACUGGACUGUAACUGACGUUGAGGCUCGAAAGCGUGGGGAGCAAACAGGAUUAGAUACCCUUGUAGUC